RNAcentral lists this ribosomal RNA (725 nucleotides) under uncultured bacterium. RNAcentral's name for it is "bacterial SSU rRNA". It matches the Rfam family "Bacterial small subunit ribosomal RNA", at positions 56 to 780 of the family's 1533-position model. The record is from RNAcentral.
UGCAGUCGAACGAAGCACUUUAUUUGAUUUCCUUCGGGACUGAUUAUUUUGUGACUGAGUGGCGGACGGGUGAGUAACGCGUGGGUAACCUGCCUUGUACAGGGGGAUAACAGUUGGAAACGGCUGCUAAUACCGCAUAAGCGCACAGCAUCGCAUGAUGCAGUGUGAAAAACUCUGGUGGUAUAAGAUGGACCCGCGUUGGAUUAGCUAGUUGGUGAGGUAACGGCCCACCAAGGCGACGAUCCAUAGCCGACCUGAGAGGGUGACCGGCCACAUUGGGACUGAGACACGGCCCAAACUCCUACGGGAGGCAGCAGUGGGGAAUAUUGCACAAUGGGCGAAAGCCUGAUGCAGCGACGCCGCGUGAGCGAAGAAGUAUUUCGGUAUGUAAAGCUCUAUCAGCAGGGAAGAUAAUGACGGUACCUGACUAAGAAGCACCGGCUAAAUACGUGCCAGCAGCCGCGGUAAUACGUAUGGUGCAAGCGUUAUCCGGAUUUACUGGGUGUAAAGGGAGCGCAGGCGGUGCGGCAAGUCUGAUGUGAAAGCCCGGGGCUCAACCCCGGUACUGCAUUGGAAACUGUCGUACUAGAGUGUCGGAGGGGUAAGCGGAAUUCCUAGUGUAGCGGUGAAAUGCGUAGAUAUUAGGAGGAACACCAGUGGCGAAGGCGGCUUACUGGACGAUAACUGACGCUGAGGCUCGAAAGCGUGGGGAGCAAACAGGAUUA